GGGGCUGUAGCUUAGUAGGCCAGAGCGACAAUGCCUAGCUACAAGCUGGUUAUUGGAGGCAUAGGUUCGAUUCCUAUCAGCUCCU
Molecule: transfer RNA, 85 nt
Filed under: Candidatus Campbelliibacteriota bacterium
Lineage: Bacteria; Candidatus Campbelliibacteriota
Description: Candidatus Campbellbacteria bacterium tRNA-OTHER
Rfam family: tRNA
About the family: Transfer RNA (tRNA) molecules are approximately 80 nucleotides in length.
Source: RNAcentral